CCGGAGCUAAUACCGGAUAAUAUUUUGAACCGCAUGGUUCAAAAGUGAAAGACGGUCUUGCUGUCACUUAUAGAUGGAUCCGCGCUGCAUUAGCUAGUUGGUAAGGUAACGGCUUACCAAGGCAACGAUGCAUAGCCGACCUGAGAGGGUGAUCGGCCACACUGGAACUGAGACACGGUCCAGACUCCUACGGGAGGCAGCAGUAGGGAAUCUUCCGCAAUGGGCGAAAGCCUGACGGAGCAACGCCGCGUGAGUGAUGAAGGUCUUCGGAUCGUAAAACUCUGUUAUUAGGGAAGAACAUAUGUGUAAGUAACUGUGCACAUCUUGACGGUACCUAAUCAGAAAGCCACGGCUAACUACGUGCCAGCAGCCGCGGUAAUAUGUAGGUGGCAAGCGUUAUCCGGAAUUAUUGGGCGUAAAGCGCGCGUAGGCGGUUUUUUAAGUCUGAUGUGAAAGCCCACGGCUCAACCGUGGAGGGUCAUUGGAAACUGGAAAACUUGAGUGCAGAAGAGGAAAGUGGAAUUCCAUGUGUAGCGGUGAAAUGCGCAGAGAUAUGGAGGAACACCAGUGGCGAAGGCGACUUUCUGGUCUGUAACUGACGCUGAUGUGCGAAAGCGUGGGGAUCAAACAGGAUUAGAUACCCUGGUAGUCCACGCCGUAAACGAUGAGUGCUAAGUGUUAGGGGGUUUCCGCCCCUUAGUGCUGCAGCUAACGCAUUAAGCACUCCGCCUGGGGAGUACGACCGCAAGGUGAAACUCAAAGGAAUUGACGGA
Molecule: ribosomal RNA, 773 nt
Filed under: uncultured bacterium
Lineage: Bacteria
Description: bacterial SSU rRNA
Rfam family: Bacterial small subunit ribosomal RNA
Source: RNAcentral